This 298-nucleotide long non-coding RNA is filed under the name Erythranthe guttata (spotted monkey flower). RNAcentral's name for it is "long non-coding RNA (EGUT_LNC000708)". The record is from RNAcentral. Lineage: Eukaryota; Viridiplantae; Streptophyta; Magnoliopsida; Lamiales; Phrymaceae.
GGAUCUAUUGGGCCUACUACUCACAUUUCCACGUUUCGUAUGAAGUUUGGCAAAGUCUGUAGUCUUUGUUAUUUAAUGUUGGAUUUGAUAUCAUUAUCCUUUGAUUUUCGCAUUGCAAUUAUCGUGUGGUAUUGAGUUGUGAGUUUGUGACUUUGUGUGCAUGUUAUGUAUGGUGAUUCUUCUCACUUACUUUCAAGAUUCUCUCUUCGUUUGAUCUUUUUGUUAAGUGUUUGAACAGCUUGCUCGAAUCAUCAAGAUCAUUAGUCCAUGUUGCGUUAUCUAUGCAUGGUGAUUGCCC